CUACGGGGCGCUCCAGUGGGGAAUAUUGCACAAUGGGGGAAACUCUGAUGCAGCAACGCCGCGUGGAGGAUGACACUUUUCGGAGCGUAAACUCCUUUUAUAUAGGAAGAAGAUGACGGUACUAUAUGAAUAAGCGCCGGCUAACUCCGUGCCAGCAGCCGCGGUAAUACGGAGGGCGCAAGCGUUACUCGGAAUCACUGGGCGUAAAGAGCGUGUAGGCGGAUUAAAAAGUCAGAAGUGAAAUCCUAUAGCUUAACUAUAGAACUGCUUCUGAAACUCUUAAUCUAGAAUAUGGGAGAGGUAGAUGGAAUUUCUGGUGUAGGGGUAAAAUCCGUAGAGAUCAGAAGGAAUACCGAUUGCGAAGGCGAUCUACUAGAACAUUAUUGACGCUGAGACGCGAAAGCGUGGGGGGCAAACAGGAUUAGAUACCCUCGUAGUC
Molecule: ribosomal RNA, 439 nt
Filed under: uncultured bacterium
Lineage: Bacteria
Description: partial 16S ribosomal RNA
Rfam family: Bacterial small subunit ribosomal RNA
Source: RNAcentral